AUCCAGACUCCUACGGGAGGCAGCAGUGGGGGAUAUUGCACAAUGGGGGAAACCCUGAUGCAGCAACGCCGCGUGAGUGAAGAAGGUCUUCGGAUUGUAAAGCUCUGUUCUUGGUGAAGAUAAUGACGGUAGCCAAGGAGAAAGCUCCGGCUAACUACGUGCCAGCAGCCGCGGUAAUACGUAGGGAGCGAGCGUUAUCCGGAUUUAUUGGGUUUAAAGGGUGCGCAGGCGGAGGUGCAAGUCAGCGGUCAAAUUGCGGGGCUCAACCCCGUACUGCCGUUGAAACUGCAUCCCUUGAGUGCGCGAGAAGUAUGCGGAAUGCGUGGUGUAGCGGUGAAAUGCAUAGAUAUCACGCAGAACUCCGAUUGCGAAGGCAGCAUACCGGCGCGCAACUGACGCUCAUGCACGAAAGCGUGGGUAUCGAACAGGAUUAGAUACCCCGGUAU
Molecule: ribosomal RNA, 446 nt
Filed under: uncultured bacterium
Lineage: Bacteria
Description: bacterial SSU rRNA
Rfam family: Bacterial small subunit ribosomal RNA
Source: RNAcentral